This 468-nucleotide ribosomal RNA is filed under the name uncultured bacterium. RNAcentral describes it as "partial 16S ribosomal RNA". It matches the Rfam family "Bacterial small subunit ribosomal RNA", at positions 28 to 507 of the family's 1533-position model. The record is from RNAcentral.
GACGAACGCUGGCGGCGUGCUUAACACAUGCAAGUCGAACGGAAAGGCCCUGCUUUUGUGGGGUGCUCGAGUGGCGAACGGGUGAGUAACACGUGAGUAACAUGCACUUGACUUUGGGAUAACUUCACGAAACUGGGGCUAAUACCGGAUAGGAGCUCCUGCUGCAUGGUGGUGGUUGGAAAGUUUCGGCGGUUGGGGAUGGACUCGCGGCUUAUCAGCUUGUUGGUGGGGUAGUGGCUUACCAAGGCUUCGACGGGUAGCCCGCCUGAGAGGGUGACCGGGCUCCUUACGACUGAGGGACGCACCAGACUGCUACCGGCCGCAAUAGUGGGGAAUAUGGCACAAUAGGGGGAAGCCUGAUGCAGCAACCUCCGGUGCGGGAUGAUCGCUUUCUGGUGGUGAACCGCUUUCGCCUGAGAUGUAGCGGGAUUGACGGUACCUGGUAAGAAAGCACCGGCUAACUACGUG